Long non-coding RNA from Pantherophis guttatus, 776 nucleotides. RefSeq lists it as uncharacterized. The record is from RefSeq and is a predicted model, not a curated record. NCBI's taxonomy places the organism in Eukaryota, Metazoa, Chordata, Lepidosauria, Squamata, Colubridae.
CUGUGACGUAAGUGGUCCCUUGGCAACGGAUAUGGAAGGGCGGGAAAGUGACCAGUGUAUAGAAAUGCCCGAAGGGUAGCGAAGUUGCCGUUGUGAUCGAUCGUCUUAUACUAAACGAAAUGAAAAAUAAAAUAUUCUUUAUUGGCUAAAUGUGAUUGGACACACAAUAAAUUUGUCUCCGGUGCAUAAGCUCUCAGUAUACAUACAAGUAACAAAGUGGUAACUCAUAAAUCAUAAGGGCUUUUGGUGGAGACUUACCUUUGAAUCAGUUGUCCCAACCAGACAUCCCAAUCAGUCGUCUCAGCCUUAUAGAAACUGAGAAUUGAGAAGAUGAAAGAGUACAGGAAAAAUGAUUGUGUUAUUUUGAUACCCCAAAAUGAAUGAGAAUGGUAAUUAUUUGCUGAAUCCCUAAGAACAACAUCCACUUGUUUCUAAUUCAUGGUGUAUGCAUACAUCAUGGCAAACUAAUGAAUAUAAAAGAAGAAUAUAUAUGAUGAGACAAUAAGGAGAAACAACAUCAAGUGCAUUGCUAUUUCUAAUUGUAUGCUGGUAAGGCCAUGAAUUACUGUUUUAAGUUACACCUGGCAUGCUAGCAAAAGAAAACAGAAAAAAAGAAGAUAAAAAAAUAAUCACAGUCCUAUCUGAUUAAAGAUAAAAUUCUCAAGAGAAUAAUUUACAGAUGCAUUACAGUAUGCUCUGGUGCUUUUCUAUGAAAAACACUUUCAUUAUUGUUUAUUGUACCAUGUUACCCAAUAUUAAAUGCAGUGGGGAAUACA